GAUGAACGCUGGCGGCGUGCCUAAUACAUGCAAGUCGAGCGAACAGACGAGGAGCUUGCUCCUCUGACGUUAGCGGCGGACGGGUGAGUAACACGUGGAUAACCUACCUAUAAGACUGGGAUAACUUCGGGAAACCGGAGCUAAUACCGGAUAAUAUCUUGAACCGCAUGGUUCAAUAGUGAAAGACGGUUUUGCUGUACCUUAUAGAUGGAUCCGCGCCGAAUUGGCUAGUUGGUAAGGUAACGGCUUACCAAGGCAACGAUGCGUAGCCGACCUGAGAGGGUGAUCGGCCACAUUGGAACGGGGACACGGUCCAGACUCCUACGGGAGGCAGCAGAAGGGAAUCUUCCGCAAUGGGCGAAAGCCUGACGGAGCAACGCCGCGUGAGUGAUGAAGGUCUUCGGAUCGUAAAACUCUGUUAUUAGGGAAGAACAAAUGUGUAAGUAACUAUGCACGUCUUGACGGUACCUAAUCAGAAAGCCACGGCUAACUACGUG
Molecule: ribosomal RNA, 497 nt
Filed under: uncultured bacterium
Lineage: Bacteria
Description: partial 16S ribosomal RNA
Rfam family: Bacterial small subunit ribosomal RNA
Source: RNAcentral